GCGGGGGUAGCGAAGCCUGGUCAACCGCGUAGGACUCAAGAUCCUAUCCCUUAGUGGGUUCAAGGGUUCGAAUAGUCGACUCGGAAGGCGACGACCGAGCGGCAACGAAAGUCCCUUCCCCCGCA
This 125-nucleotide transfer RNA is filed under the name Candidatus Woesearchaeota archaeon. RNAcentral's name for it is "tRNA-Leu". The record is from RNAcentral. Lineage: Archaea; Nanobdellati; Candidatus Woesearchaeota.